This 253-nucleotide ribosomal RNA is filed under the name uncultured bacterium. RNAcentral's name for it is "partial 16S ribosomal RNA". It matches the Rfam family "Bacterial small subunit ribosomal RNA", at positions 524 to 776 of the family's 1533-position model. The record is from RNAcentral.
UACAGAGGUGACAAACGUUGUCCGGAAUUAUUGGGCGUAAAGGGCGCGUAGGUGGUUGAGUAAGUCAGGUGUGAAAGCUCUGGGCUUAACCCAGGAAUUGCAUCUGAUACUGCUCGGCUUGAGUACGGUAGAGGAGGGUGGAAUUCCCAGUGUAGCGGUGAAAUGCGUAGAUAUUGGGAGGAACACCGGUGGCGAAGGCGGCCCUCUGGACCGAAACUGACACUGAAGCGCGAAAGCCAGGGGAGCGAACGGG